UACAGAGGGGGCAAGCGUUGUUCGGAAUUACUGGGCGUAAAGGGCGCGUAGGCGGCCUGUUAAGUCGAACGUGAAAUCCCCGGGCUCAACCCGGGAACUGCGUCCGAUACUGGCAGGCUUGAAUCCGGGAGAGGAUGUGGAAUUCCAGGUGUAGCGGUGAAAUGCGUAGAUAUCUGGAGGAACACCGGUGGCGAAGGCGGCGACCUGGUCCGAUACUGACGCUGAGGCGCGAAAGCGUGGGGAGCAACAGG
RNAcentral lists this ribosomal RNA (251 nucleotides) under uncultured bacterium. RNAcentral's name for it is "partial 16S ribosomal RNA". It matches the Rfam family "Bacterial small subunit ribosomal RNA", at positions 524 to 775 of the family's 1533-position model. The record is from RNAcentral.